AGAGUUCAAGAGUACGUGAAACCGUUUAGGGGUAAACCUGAGAAAUCCGAAAGGUCGAAGGGAGAAAUUCAUUCGCGUUUCGCCUUCGGCGUGAGACGGUCGUGUGACGGGAAAACGUUCGCGUUUUCCGCGCCUUCCGUUUUUCGAUCCGAUAGCGAACGCGUGCACUUUUCUCCUGGUAGGACGUCGCGAUCCGUUGGGUGUCGGUYUACGGCUCGCGGUGGAGCCCGGACACACGGCUUGCCGUCGCGUCCGGACCCGCGUGUCCCGGCUGACUCGCUCGACGGUAUACGAAAGGUUUAAGGCCGCUCCUCGGAGCGUUCGGCUCGUCGCAAGCGCGCCAGAUGUGUCGGUGAUCGGACCUGGUGCCGGUUCUGACCUCUGGUGACUGUUGGCGACGAAGUUUUCGAACAGACCUUUGACCGAUCUGCGACGCUAUAGCUUUGGAUACUUUCAGGACCCGUCUUGAAACACGGACCAAGGAGUYUAGCAUGUACGCGAGUCAUUGGGAAUCACUAAACCUAAAGGCGUAAUGAAAGUAAAGGUCCGCCUCGCGCGGACUCAGGGAGGACGGGCGGUUUACCCUUAAAAGUGGCCGCUCCGCACUCCCGGGGCGUCUCAUUCUCAUCGCGAGAAGAGGCGCACCAAGAGCGUACACGCUGGGACCCGAAAGAUGGUGAACUAUGCCUGGUCAGGACGAAGUCAGGGGAAACCCUGAUGGAGGUCCGUAGCGAUUCUGACGUGCAAAUCGAUCGUCGGAACUGGGUAUAGGGGCGAAAGACUAAUCGAACCAUCUAGUAGCUGGUUCCCU
RNAcentral lists this ribosomal RNA (811 nucleotides) under Listronotus cryptops. RNAcentral's name for it is "eukaryotic LSU rRNA". It matches the Rfam family "Eukaryotic large subunit ribosomal RNA", at positions 384 to 960 of the family's 3401-position model. Lineage: Eukaryota; Metazoa; Arthropoda; Insecta; Coleoptera; Curculionidae. The record is from RNAcentral.